Homo sapiens (human) is the source of this 1404-nucleotide long non-coding RNA. Ensembl annotates it as long intergenic non-protein coding RNA 2301. NCBI's taxonomy places the organism in Eukaryota, Metazoa, Chordata, Mammalia, Primates, Hominidae. The record is from Ensembl.
GCGUUCCUGUGUGAUGGGGCCGGAGCCAGUAAACAGGCUUCCUUCUCGCUCUGCUGUAUAAGAAGAAGAAGUAGGAGAAACAAAAUAAGGAGGAGAAGAAGUAAAAUAAUUUGAGAAGGAAUAUGAAGAUUUUAUUGGUGGAACAGAGAAAGGAAAAGCAGUUAAGAAAACAAAGCUCAAGAAACUGAAACUAGCCUGAGAAGGAAGAUACUGAGUCAGAUGGAGCCAUUUAUAUAUGGAGAUCCAGGAUUUAUAAGAUCCAUACCAUUGAAUUUGAAGUAAGGAUACGAUCAAGCUGAUAAUCCAAAGUGCACUAACUUCUAAGGACGGAAAUGUUUCUCUGGGGCUAUCAUUGCACCCUCGCUCUCUGGAAUUUCGGUAUCAUGAGAACACAUAAGUAAGAGCCAAAAUUCAUAGGGAUUCUGCCUGGAGAGGAACACAGGGAUUCUGAAAUAACCAUGACAUACAUAAGUACCUCCAAUUAUUUGCCUCUCAGACAAAGCCAGCAGCUGUUGAAAUAUGGACACUGGGUUACUACGUAUAAUUUGAGGAUAUGAGGAAUUAUUUAAUUUAAUAUUAAAUUUUCUUGUUACAAUUUGGAACUAUUAUAUUUUAAGAAUCUAGUUAAUUCCGCACUUCAGGCAAAUCUUUAAGUCUGCAAUGUUUUGCAAUGCAAUGAGAGACAGAUAGAUGGGAUGGAUUUAAUGGUACCAAAGAUGGAAAAGUGAGUGGCAAGGACUAAGACCAUCCUUGCUGACAGGAAAGCAGGAGCAAGAGGAGAUGCUCUUAUUAAAGGAUCAUCCUACAAAACUGUCCUUGCGGUUUACUGUAACUAAUGUUUCUAAUGCAAUCCUAAAACUACAUAACACUGGAGGUCAUAUUAGUCAGCACUAGGGGAGAAAUGUCUUCUGCUGAACAACAUCCUUAACACCCCUCAGCAGAAUCAGAGAAUGCGGACAGAAGAAAUGCUCUAUGAGCUGGGGGAGUUUUUAUUAGAAAGGACUUAUCCACUUGGAAAAAAAGCAGUACAGCAGAGGCUAACACCACCAAUCAUUGAACAGAAAAAGGAUUGUAGAGUCAUAACUGGGAAGAAGUGUAAUUCAUCUAGAUCGUUCUUCAAGCUCCAGAGGAUUGUUAUUCAUUCACGGAUUGUGAACUAAAUAUUUCUCUUAAAUGUAAAGUGGACCAGAGUUAGUUUUUUCUCCCUAUGACUUUGGUCAGAUGGCCAUGGAUUUUGUGAACAUUCAAUAAAUAUUUAUUAGUAUUAAUGGUUCUGUAUCUUCAGUGAAAUAUUGUCCUGCCCUAUAAUCCUUUCAGUUUUCAGUCUAAAAUUUUUUUUCACAACAAAUUUUAACCUAUUCUAUAUUUGUUGUAAAUGGAACAUUAAAAACUGAGAAUGACGAA